RNAcentral lists this ribosomal RNA (406 nucleotides) under uncultured bacterium. RNAcentral's name for it is "partial 16S ribosomal RNA". It matches the Rfam family "Bacterial small subunit ribosomal RNA", at positions 30 to 526 of the family's 1533-position model. The record is from RNAcentral.
AUUGAACGCUGGCGGCAGGCCUAACACAUGCAAGUCGAACGAGUGGCGGACGGGUGAGUAAUGUCUGGGAAACUGCCCGAUGGAGGGGGAUAACUACUGGAAACGGUAGCUCAUACCGCAUACCAUCGGAUUUGCCCAGAUGGGAUGCGCUAGUAGGUGGGGUAACGGCUCACCUAGGCGACGAUCCCUAGCUGGGCUGAGAGGAUGACCAGCCACACUGGAACUGAGACACGGUCCAGAAUCCGACGUGAGGCAUCAGUGGGGAAUAUUGCACAAUGGGCGCAAGCCUGAUGCAGCCAUGCCGCGUGUAUGAAGAAGGCCUUCGGGUUGUAAAGUACUUUCAGCGGGGAGGCGUUACCCGCAGAAGAAGCACCGGCUAACUCCGUGCCAGCAGCCGCGGUAAUUC